Molecule: non-coding RNA, 71 nt
Organism: Ictidomys tridecemlineatus (thirteen-lined ground squirrel)
Lineage: Eukaryota; Metazoa; Chordata; Mammalia; Rodentia; Sciuridae
Source: Rfam
GGGGGUACAGCUAAGUGGUACAGUGCUUGCCUAGCAUGUAGGAGGCCCUGGGUUCAAUCCUAGUAUCUCAA